RNAcentral lists this ribosomal RNA (524 nucleotides) under uncultured bacterium. RNAcentral's name for it is "partial 16S ribosomal RNA". It matches the Rfam family "Bacterial small subunit ribosomal RNA", at positions 355 to 895 of the family's 1533-position model. The record is from RNAcentral.
UGGGGAAUAUUGCACAAUGGGCGAAGCCUGAUGCAGCAACGCCGCGUGAGUGAUGAAGGCCUUCGGGUUGUAAAGCUCUGUCUUUUGGGACGAUAAUGACGGUACCAAAGGAGGAAGCCACGGCUAACUACGUGCCAGCAGCCGCGGUAAUACGUAGGUGGCAAGCGUUGUCCGGAUUUACUGGGCGUAAAGGAUGCGUAGGCGGAUUUUUAAGUGAGAUGUGAAAUACCCGGGCUUAACUUGGGUGCUGCAUUUCAAACUGGGAAUCUAGAGUGCGGGAGAGGAGAAUGGAAUUCCUAGUGUAGCGGUGAAAUGCGUAGAGAUUAGGAAGAACACCAGUGGCGAAGGCGAUUCUCUGGACCGUAACUGACGCUGAGGCAUGAAAGCGUGGGUAGCAAACAGGAUUAGAUACCCUGGUAGUCCACGCCGUAAACGAUGAGUACUAGGUGUAGGAGGUAUCGACCCCUUCUGUGCCGCAGUUAACACAAUCAAGUACUCCGCCUGGGAAGUACGAUCGCAAGAUU